UCUCAGGGCCUCAAGGUCAGAGCUCAGCCUCCUGGAAGGCCGGGCGCCCGAGCGUGUGGAUUCCUGGACUUUCCCAUCUCAGCACUCUGCUCAGCCUGAGGUCGAAGUUCGGCAGCACUUGCUUUUGUGACCUUCCGCCCUAUGCUAAAAGUCAUCCUCAGGGAGGAUGAAAAAUAGUGCCGCCAUCUAAUAACGAUGCCCUGUACGUAAUGAGCCUGGGGCUUCAGAGCAAUCCCAUAAUAAGUGGGAAGCAGGCAGCCUGAUGCAUUGCCUACACCUGCCACCUGACCACAAACAAAGACUAUUGGUGGACUUCACCCAAUCAGUUAAAGGCCUGAAUAGAACAAAAGGCUGUCUUCACCUGAGCAAGAAGGAAUUUUGCAGCAGCUGACCUUCAGACCUGGAAUGGGACAUUGGCUCUUUCCUGAGUCUUCAGCCUGAUGAUCUUCAAAUUAGAACCGUAGCAUCAGCUCUCCUCUGGGCCUAUAGCCUGCCUGUCUACUCUGCAGAUUUGGGAUUUGGCAGUCUCCAAAAUCAUAUUAUGAUCGUCUCGAGGAAACGGCCUUAUUUACCUUCGUCUAAGUGGAGCAGGUGUUGCACAUGGCACAUAAAAGGCUUUUAGACGGCUUCAUGUGGUCCCUGGAGGACUUGGGUUUUGCCAUAGCCUAAGGUUGGUCUUACCUGGAUGGUGAGCGCUGAUUCAACAGGACAUUGGUGUUCCUGUCUGCUGGGGAUGCGGAGAAUAUAGGCCAGUGGAAGUUAAAAAAAACCAACAACAACAACAACAACAAAAGAACAGAAAACAAAAAGCAAAAGUUGGAAGCCACUGCAUAGAGAAAUCCAGAACUUAAAGAGCUCUACAAAAGAAGAUGCAAGCUUAUGGUAAUUUAUACCACUUUGCGGUCAGCUACUAGAUGAAUUGGCUAUGCCAACAAGGUAACUAAAAUUGACACACUUUGAGAUGCAAUAAAGAAUAAACAGGAAAGCUUUCACUGCAAUUACAGGUCAGAGAAAGCAAUAAUCACCUUAAAGUGUAUGUUCUUUAGUUGCUUUAGUCGUCUUCCUAUUCCAAGGUAUUAUUAAGCAGAUAACACAAUGCAGAUCCACCUGUGCACAUGCUCUUUGGCACCUCCAGAGUGCCUUUCUGUAAGGAUGUUACACGAUUUCUAAAAGACUUAAGGAUAACUGCUUUAUUAAAAUGCUAUUAGAGAAAAAAGUUGUAGAAGUAUCUUUUUAAUAUGAGAGAUUUUGACAUAUCAAGUAAAAAGACAGUAUACUUUUUUCUUUUUAGGCCUCAUACCAUAGUUACAGCAUAGUGUCUGUGAUAUGAUCCCGUUUUUGUGAAAAAAUAAUGUGUGUGUGUAUGUGUGUAUCAGGAUUUGUCAGCUUUGGUACUGUUCACAUUUGGGGCCGGAUGAUUAUUUGUUGUUCCUGCACUAGAGGAAAUUUAGAAGCAUCCUUAAAUUCUAAGAACCACUAGAUACCAGUAGCAGGACCACCUCCCCCCCCCACCCAUCUGUGGCCUCUCCAGUUGUGACAACCAAAAAUGUCACCAGACCUUGCCAAAUCACCCCAGUUGAGAACCACUGAUACAGAUAUAACUGACCAAGGAGUGUCUCUUUAGUGGAUAGACUUUUUUUUUUUUUUUUAAUGUCUUUCUCUUUUGGUUGUUUAUAGAUUCUGAUUUUUUAUAAUGAGCAUAUGGUAUCUUCAUAAUAAAAAAUUCCCAUAAAACUGUAUUUACAUUGAAAAUAUAUACUAGUUUCAUAGCAGUUACUUUUAUAAAUUUGAUGAUGGAGAUU
RNAcentral lists this long non-coding RNA (1802 nucleotides) under Sus scrofa (pig). RNAcentral's name for it is "lncRNA (ENSSSCG00040026198.1)". The record is from RNAcentral. Lineage: Eukaryota; Metazoa; Chordata; Mammalia; Artiodactyla; Suidae.